Molecule: ribosomal RNA, 439 nt
Filed under: uncultured bacterium
Lineage: Bacteria
Description: partial 16S ribosomal RNA
Rfam family: Bacterial small subunit ribosomal RNA
Source: RNAcentral
CUACGGGCGGCUGCAGUGAGGAAUAUUGCACAAUGGAGGAAACUCUGAUGCAGCCAUGCCGCGUGAGUGAAGAAGGCCCUAGGGUUGUAAAGCUCUUUCGCAAAGGAAGAUAAUGACGGUACUUUGACAAGAAGCCCCGGCUAACUUCGUGCCAGCAGCCGCGGUAAUACGAAGGGGGCUAGCGUUGUUCGGAAUCACUGGGCGUAAAGCGCGCGUAGGCGGUUUGAAAAGUCAGAUGUGAAAGCCCAGGGCUCAACUCUGGAACUGCAUUUGAAACUAUCAGACUAGAAUCCGGUAGGGGACAGUGGAAUUCUUAGUGUAGCAGUGAAAUGCGUAGAUAUUAAGAGGAACACCAGUGGCGAAGGCGACUGUCUGGGCCGGUAUUGACGCUGAGGUGCGAAAGCGUGGGGAGCAAACGGGAUUAGAUACCCCCGUAGUC